RNAcentral lists this ribosomal RNA (406 nucleotides) under uncultured archaeon. RNAcentral describes it as "bacterial SSU rRNA". It matches the Rfam family "Archaeal small subunit ribosomal RNA", at positions 321 to 727 of the family's 1478-position model. The record is from RNAcentral.
CCCUAUGGGGUGCAGCAGGCGCGAAAACUUUACAAUGCUGGAAACAGCGAUAAGGGAACCUCGAGUGCCAGGUUACAAAUCUGGCUGUCGUGAUGCCUAAAAAGCAUUUCAUAGCAAGGGCCGGGCAAGACCGGUGCCAGCCGCCGCGGUAACACCGGCGGCUCGAGUGGUAACCGUUAUUAUUGGGUCUAAAGGGUCUGUAGCCGGCCGGAUAAGUCUCUUGAGAAAUCUGGCAGCUUAACUGUCAGGCUUUCAGGAGAUACUGUCUGGCUCGAGGCCGGGAGAGGUGAGAGGUACUUCAGGGGUAGGGGUGAAAUCUUGUAAUCCUUGAAGGACCACCAGUGGCGAAGGCGUCUCACCAGAACAGACCUGACGGCAAGGGACGAAAGCUAGGGGCACGAACCGG